Molecule: ribosomal RNA, 429 nt
Filed under: Chloroflexota bacterium
Lineage: Bacteria; Bacillati; Chloroflexota
Description: Chloroflexi bacterium partial 16S ribosomal RNA
Rfam family: Bacterial small subunit ribosomal RNA
Source: RNAcentral
UGGGGAAUAUUGCACAAUGGGCGCAAGCCUGAUGCAGCCAUGCCGCGUGUAUGAAGAAGGCCUUCGGGUUGUAAAGUACUUUCAGUCGGGAGGAAGGUGGUAAGGUUAAUAACCUUGGCAAUUGACGUUACCGACAGAAGAAGCACCGGCUAACUCCGUGCCAGCAGCCGCGGUAAUACGGAGGGUGCAAGCGUUAAUCGGAAUUACUGGGCGUGAAGCGCACGCAGGCGGUUGAUUGAGUCAGAUGUGAAAUCCCCGGGCUUAACCCGGGAAUUGCAUCUGAUACUGGUCAGCUAGAGUCUUGUAGAGGGGGGUAGAAUUCCAUGUGUAGCGGUGAAAUGCGUAGAGAUGUGGAGGAAUACCGGUGGCGAAGGCGGCCCCCUGGACAAAGACUGACGCUCAGGUGCGAAAGCGUGGGGAGCAAACAGG